Molecule: ribosomal RNA, 96 nt
Filed under: Methanobacteriota archaeon
Lineage: Archaea; Methanobacteriati; Methanobacteriota
Source: RNAcentral
CACCCGGUCCCAUCCGAACCCGGAAGUUAAGCCCGCCCGCGUUGCGUGCGGUACUGCGGUGCGCGAGCCCGCGGGAACCACGAGACGCUGUCAGCC